This 394-nucleotide ribosomal RNA is filed under the name uncultured bacterium. RNAcentral describes it as "bacterial SSU rRNA". It matches the Rfam family "Bacterial small subunit ribosomal RNA", at positions 355 to 766 of the family's 1533-position model. The record is from RNAcentral.
UGGGGAAUAUUGGACAAUGGGCGCAAGCCUGAGCCAGCCAUGCCGCGUGAGUGAUGAAGGCCUUAGGGUUGUAAAGCUCUUUUAGCGGGGAAGAUAAUGACGGUACCCGCAGAAAAAGCCCCGGCUAACUGCGUGCCAGCAGCCGCGGCAAUACGAAGGGGGCUAGCGUUGCACGGGAUUACUGGGCGUAAAGCGCACGUAGGCGGACUCUUAAGUCGGUGGUGAAAUCCUGGAGCUCACCUCCAGAACUGCCUUUGAUACUUUUGUUCUUGAGUUCGGGAGAGAGAGACGGAAUUCCAGGUGUCGUGGUGAAAUACGUAGCUAUCUGGAAGAACACCAUUUGCGAAGGCGGUCUCUUGGUCCGACACUGACGCUGUGGCGCGAAAGCGUGGGG